AGUCCCGUAGGCAAAAGUCAAGCCGUCUCCCCCUCAAGGAGAAGAUUGCGAGUGCAAACCUCGUCGGGACUCCCA
Molecule: transfer RNA, 75 nt
Filed under: Microcoleus asticus IPMA8
Lineage: Bacteria; Bacillati; Cyanobacteriota; Cyanophyceae; Oscillatoriales; Microcoleaceae
Also listed under: 73 other names
Description: tRNA-Glu
Source: RNAcentral